AUAUUUUUAAUUUACUAUGGUGAUCUACCUUCAUAAUGUUUUGGGGAAUAAAUUAGAUAAUAGCUUCCCUGAGGGCUGAUAGUUAGUAUUAUUGAGAGAAAUGCAUAAUUUAUUUUUAGAGAAGUGUUGUGUUAUAUAGUGCCUUUACAUA
Haliotis rubra (blacklip abalone) is the source of this 151-nucleotide long non-coding RNA. RefSeq lists it as uncharacterized. The record is from RefSeq and is a predicted model, not a curated record. The transcript is spliced from 3 exons. NCBI's taxonomy places the organism in Eukaryota, Metazoa, Mollusca, Gastropoda, Lepetellida, Haliotidae.